Molecule: ribosomal RNA, 93 nt
Filed under: Methylobacterium aquaticum
Lineage: Bacteria; Pseudomonadati; Pseudomonadota; Alphaproteobacteria; Hyphomicrobiales; Methylobacteriaceae
Description: partial 16S ribosomal RNA
Rfam family: Bacterial small subunit ribosomal RNA
Source: RNAcentral
UUCAACUUGAGAGUUUGAUCCUGGCUCAGAGCGAACGCUGGCGGCAGGCUUAACACAUGCAAGUCGAGCGGGCAUCCUUGUGGUGUCAGCGGC